CCCGGGGCGCCAGCAACGCCGCGGGAGAUUUGCCUGGUUUCAGCACCGGGCACGUGGAAAGCACUGGGGAAGUCAGGACAAACUCCGACUUCAUCCAGACACUGAGCUGUGUGUCCGGCUCCACAGGCUAGACACCCACGUGGACCUACAUUCCUAUUCCAGUUGAUUUGUUGUAUAAUUCCAUGGUGAAAACGAGACCGGGAGCCAUUUUUCAGCACUAGUGUGCUGUGACACUGCUGUAUUUUUAUGUCUGAUUUUGUAAACGAGUCAUUUUUAAGUGAGAUGAAACUUGGGGAUACCCAAGACAAAUCAAACUCCUGCAAGGGAUACAGUGCGUAAGCCAGACUGAGUCACAGCAAAGGCUCUUCCCUUUCUCUGGAGGUGAUGGAAUAUCAGGACAGGAUUGGAUUCCUAACAGCCCAAUAGCACCUUUUUUCAAUGUGAGUAGUUUGGAAUGUGAGGAUGUGACCACAUACUUCCCAGUUUAUGGCUGCCUCUGCUGCUUAGCCGAAGGCCUCGUGAGAGACAGCCCUUACACCGGCAGACAGUGAUUUUGAUUCUUUUAUACCUCUAUAACUAGCUAAGUGAUAAGAAUACACCUAAAUUCUUAAAGUAUAGGCCUUUGCAGACAGGCCUGAAUAUCUGUAUCCUAACACAGUUAAUAUGAAGAUGUUAAUGUCUUGUUUUGUUAAUCGUGAGAGCAGCUGGUAUCAAAUGUAAAUUAUACUGUUAACUUAGAGUUUUCACACCAUUUUGUCGUGGCUCUAUAACACUCUGCCAAACGUGGAAAAUGGUGACUCUGGAAGCAUUCCGUUUGGUGUGCUCGCUGCAGCAGUUCCCGCUCUUCCUGGGGGGUGGGGGGGUGCUAAUGGAACGGAUGCAAAUAGACAGGGAUGUCCUUGCAGAAUUGGAUAUUACACAAUCUGGUCUAAACAGCUGUGGGAACUUUAGCUGCACUGAAAACAGAAAAUUAUAGAGGAUAAUAUAUAAAAAGUCCCGUUUUAAGGGGACCUGUACAGUCUCUAGUCAGAAGUAUUGACCAGACACCAAAAGUGAGUUACCACAAUUGUCUGUCGUCUUCUAGCGUCCUGCAACAAAUGAAACCAGUAAUUAGUGUACUAGAUCUGUCAAAAAAUCUGUGAGUGACUCUUUGAAUAACUUUUUUAUUGCACCACCACAAGCAGCAGGGAGCAGCUGGCAUACACACUCGACACUCUUAUCUGGUGGCUGCACUGUGCUUCAGUCAGACAGCGCGAGGGUGAAAUGAUGGAACCCGAAAAGAAAAAGCGUCGAAGGCUGUGCUCGUUCAAAGAUGAGUGGCUGCAGCUCGCAGAAUAUCGGAACUGGCUUACAAAGGCAAGUGAAGACUCAGGAUAUUGUUCUAUUUGCCGUGUUCAAUUCAUGGUUAAGUUUGAUUCUGUAAAAGCUAUUAAGCAUCAUGCGGAGACAAAAGGUCACAGAAUCAAAGUACAAGGACAGGUAUGGUCCAGCACUAGCAAUAAAGUCUCCAUAAAGACGGAUAAUGCUGAAGAACAACACAUAUGCACAGCUGAAUUGCUUUUAAUGUAUCACGGCGUUAAACACCACCACAGCUACCAUUCUCAAGACUGUGGAAAUAAACUGUACCCCUCCAUUUUCCCUGACUCCAAGAUAGCGUCCAGAAUUCACUGCGGAAUGACAAAAGCAGCAGCUUUGAUUGAGAACAUUUUAGCCCCUCAUUCAUUGAAACUGGCUGUGCAAGACAUUGGAUCAACACCUUUUGCAAUAGUGACAGAUGCGGCUAAUACAGGGAACACAAUAUUAUUCCCAGUUGCCGUCCGCUACUUUAAUAAAGAUAAGGGAAUCUGUAUGUAUCGUAGACUUUUUUGAGGAUGGAGAGGAAACAUCAGAGGCAAUCGCAAAGAACUUAAGAAGUUGUCUUCAAAAUUCCAGUCUGAUACGGAAUAAAAUUGUAGCGUACGGAGCAGUCAAUUUUGGAGAAAACAAGUCUGUUUUUCUGCACCUAAAACAAAUGUUGGAUUUACCAAACCUUGUGCCAGGGUAUUGCAGUGCUCACAUAGUGCACAAUACAGCAAAACAUGGCUUGGAAAUGCUCUCUUACGAUGUAGAAUACUUUGUCAUCAAGGUCUUCAGUGAAUUCUCAUCCAGCGCAAAGAAUAUCAGUGAACUUGAAGAAUUCUGUGACUUUGUGGAGACAGAAUAUUCAGAAAUCUUACACCAGCUCCCUAAAUGUUUUCUGACCCUUUUCACUACCGUAGACAGGUUACUGAAGAAUUGGCCAGCACUCAAAUCUUACUUUGUGAAUAAAGGCAAGGAAGAUGUGAGCUGCACAGUAUGGGCCUUUCUUGCUGAGCAAGAGGACAGUUUCCAAUGAUGAAACUAUUACGCUUCCAGAACUGUACAUCUACUUUGUGCACAACAUUCUAAGCCAAUUUAACAAUACAAUAAAGGCUCUUGAGAGUGAUUACAUUCAGGUCACUGAACUGUAUGCCACAUUCAACAAGCUGAGAAGAGAGAUUCAGAAUCGACAAGAGAAAGGCUUCUAUGGGUACAAAGUGACACAGUUCUUGAAGAAGCUACCAUUUAACAAGCAGAAUAAAUUUGUUGGUGAUGCCCAACAGGCUUACACAAGCAUGCUGCAGUACCUGGAAUAGUGCUUUGAUUUCAGCGAAAACUCUUUCUAUAAGUUGUGUGCACCACUCAGUCUGGACGAACCUCUUCAGCUAGACAAACUGUGUGCGUUGUCUACAGACUUGAACAUUAAAGUGGACAUAGAUGAAUUAUUUACAGAAACGUGCAUACUGAAUGAUGUGCUACGAAUCCUAAAGAGUUCAAUAAAUGAUGCUGAAUCAACACGGUGCCAGCAGCAGCAAGAGUGUUGCCAUCAAAUCAAUGUCUCUGAAGUGUGGAUAGAACUCUUUAAGUGCUGCGAGGCCCCAAACUUGCUUAGAAUUGUGCAGCAUGUGUUUGCUGUUCCACCGGCAACGCAUUUGUGGAGUGCAUUUCCAGCGUCAUGAAGAACUUGUGGGCUGAUGAAAGGAAUCAACUCCAUGUGGACAUGGUGAAAGCUGAGCUAUUCGUACACUUCAACUAUAAAAUGACUUGUGCCAAGUUUGCUGGAUUUUUGCAGACAGGAGCGGCUAGGGAGCUUGUGGCAGCGGCAACAAAGGAUCAGAAGUUUCAAUUGCCACUCACACCGCCCUGUCUGGGCUAGAAUACAAUAGCAUUGUAGUAAUAUUUUGUUAUCCUAAAAAAAGUUAAAACAUUGAGUACACAAAACAGAGUUGGAAUAUGAAUUAGUAGAGUAUAUCUGAGGUUGCUUUAACUUCAUUACUUGUGGGCCAGGCAGACAUGGAGCUGGCCUACAACAAAGGUGAUUAAGCCCCAUCACUGUCCUGUUCGUGCCUCAAGUGGAGAAAUAAAUGCACAGAGAAUUGAGGCCUAUAUGUUUGCAUUGUUCCACAUAAAUAUCGUUACAAUGAAAGUUCCUUGUGGCUGCGCUAGGGAGUUUCUUGACCUGUUCUUGUUACACUUUUGUUUUACUUCUGAGGAAUAAAGAUUAUACAAAGUUUGUAUGAAAUGAUUACGCAGUAUCUGGUGACGUGUCCAGAAAUGCAAAACUUUGCACCUAACCAUAUAGUAAAGCGCACACA
This is a long non-coding RNA of Gopherus flavomarginatus (Mexican gopher tortoise), 3653 nucleotides long. RefSeq lists it as uncharacterized. The transcript has 2 exons. The record is from RefSeq and is a predicted model, not a curated record. NCBI's taxonomy places the organism in Eukaryota, Metazoa, Chordata, Testudines, Testudinidae.